Homo sapiens (human) is the source of this 972-nucleotide long non-coding RNA. Ensembl annotates it as NSUN5 pseudogene 1. Its record names the gene NSUN5P1. Lineage: Eukaryota; Metazoa; Chordata; Mammalia; Primates; Hominidae. The record is from Ensembl.
GUGCUGGCCGGCGUGGAGAGCCGCCAGGGCUCUAUCAAGGGGCUGGUGUACUCCAGCAACUUCCAGCCUUGAUGACUUACAAGCCCUCAAGGGGAAGCAUUUUCUCCUGGACUCCUUGAUGCCGGAGCUGCUGGUGUUUCCCGCCCAGACAGAUCUGCAUGAACACCCACUGUACCGGGCCGGACACCUCAUUCUGCAGGACAGGGCCAGCUGUCUCCCAGCCAUGCUGCUGGACCCCUGCCAGGCUCCCAUGUCAUCGAUGCCUGUGCCGCCCCAGGCAAUAAGACCAGUCACUUGGCUGCUCUUCUGAAGAACCAAGGGUAUGCCGAGCAGACAGCUGGAGGAUCCCGGGGCAGGGACACCUAGCCCGCGGCUCGUCUACUCCAUGUGCUCCCUCUGCCAGGAGGAGAAUGAAGACAUGGUACCAGAUGCGCUGCAGCAGAACCCGGGCGCCUUCAGGCUAGCUCCCGCCCUGCCUGCCCGGCCCCACCGAGGCCUGAGCACGUUCCCGGGUGCCGAGCACUGCCUCCGGGCUUCCCCCAAGACCACGCUUAGCGGUGGCUUCUUCGUUGCUGUAAUUGAACGGGUCGAGAUGCCGAUGUGAGUGAGUGGGGGCAUGCUUGGGAGGCGCAGGAUGGUACUGGCACAUCUAACAUCUACACUUCUCUAGCUCAGCCUCACAGGCCAAAGCAUCAGCACCAGAACGCACACCCAGCCCAGCCCCAAAGAGAAAGAAGAGACAGCAAAGAGCCGCAGCCGGUGCUUGCACACCGCCUUGCACAUAGCAGAGGCUCCAGGCUGACUCCUUCCUGGUGGGAAAGGAAGAUGCCUGUCCUCUCCGUGGAGGACCCUGGGCCCUCACCGCAGGCAGCAGUUUGCAUUUUGAAAGGUUAUUGGGUCCCUUCCUCGGGCUGUGUUCUUGCUGGUGAGCAAAAGUGUUGCCUGCAGAAAUAAAAUGCAGAACGUACUCUA